UAUAGGCUAAUUAAGAGCGUAAGGGGGAUACCUUGGCUCUCAGAGGCGAAGAAGGACGUGAUAAGCUGCGAAAAGUUACGGGGAGUGGCACAUACAUAUUGAUCCGUAAAUAUCCGAAUGGGGAAACCCGAUUAUUUGAAGAAUAAUCAUCCAUAUUUAUAUGGAAGCUAACCCGGAGAACUGAAACAUCUAAGUACCCGGAGGAAUAGAAAACAAAAGUGA
Molecule: ribosomal RNA, 222 nt
Filed under: uncultured Flavobacteriaceae bacterium
Lineage: Bacteria; Pseudomonadati; Bacteroidota; Flavobacteriia; Flavobacteriales; Flavobacteriaceae
Description: partial 23S ribosomal RNA
Rfam family: Bacterial large subunit ribosomal RNA
Source: RNAcentral